UCCAGAUCCAAACCAUAACACUGUUGCUUAGGAUUGCCAUCUUUGUGUAGAUAUAACAGAAUAUGAAAAUACAUUCCAAUUGUUGGAUCCAGGACUAGGAUAAGACCAAGGUAUCUUAUCUUUAUGCCAGCAAUAGGCAUUUUGGAAAAAGUAUGAAAUUUGGUAAAUAAUAAUCUUGUCUUCUAGUCUUCAGUUUCUCUCGACUACUUGAACAGCCUGGGAAAGCUAAUUCAUCUCUACUGGAUUUGGCUUCCUAGUCACCAAUCAGAUAAAGAAAUGAGAUGUAUUAUGUCUAGCAUACAGCAUAUGCACAUGAAGUUGUCCUACAUUCUGAAUCAUUUUGUUUCCCCACCUAUGAUAUGAGAAGUUUAGUCUAGAGCAUAACAGUUCUCCAGCUUUCUAAAUGCAGUAGAAUCCUUUGAACAACAACAACAAAUUUUACAUGGAACUCCAGUAAAUUAAACAGAUCAUACUUUUGUGAAAGAAAGGUGGCACAGCCUACUGAAAACCAACUUGAUUCAUGCACAAUGGUAUAAUGGAAGCCAUCGAUCUGUUCUACUCACAAAUUUGAACUUCGUUCUUCAGAAUGGAUGCCCAAACCGAAUAAGCCUCAUUUGUACUUUUUUUCGGUCACUUUGAAACUGCUACUGCUAGGAGUUUGAGAGUUUCCCAAGAAUCCUUGAAGUUCUCAACCCACCAGCAUCCACCAUGGGACAGAUGCUUUAUACAAGUUACUUCACCCAGUUUUCCCAAGGAAAGAUGAAGCAGGUUUGAAAACAGUUUUGGCACAGAGUUCAGAGGUUCCCUGACCUCGAAGUGAUGGUAAGCUAGCAUUCACAGGCUGCUGGGACUACAACGUGAACAUAUAUUUUUCCGGGCCACCAUGUAGCUCUCUCUACCAUCCGAAGAAGACCCUCCUGUCUGAAGUAUCUAACAAUUAACAGCCUAGUUACACACGUGUGAAGAUUUUUUAAAUUCAGAGGAUCACCUACUAAGGUAAAUAAGAAGCCAUCAGAAUUCUUCAGGGAAUUACUGGAACCGUAUCUGUCAUCUGUCACACCAGGCUAUGACAACCCUGCAUUCAGAAAAUGUUGCUGCUUUAAAUUUCUCUCGGUGGAAAUGUGGAAUGCUGCACAAAGAACUGAAUUCUAAGCACAGGGCUUCAUUACCUUUGUUUGGUUGCCUGACUUCAAGGUGCCUCAGCCUGCUGGACCACAUUCCUAAAUCAUUCUAGAUGCUUGGAGUGCUAUUUAGAUGAGUGGCUCUGAUAUUUUUAUCUUAUUUUACUUUUCACUACAAAGGUAAUGCAUGCUGAUUGCUAAAACUCUCAACAGUUAGGACACAUAUAAGGAAAGAGUGAAAAAUCUUCAACCCCUCUUUGCUAAUUACUAGCCACGCUGUUAACACUGCAGCAAUCUGUGGUGUCAAUAUUGUCAGUAUCACUAUCGUUAUC
Molecule: non-coding RNA, 1453 nt
Organism: Ictidomys tridecemlineatus (thirteen-lined ground squirrel)
Lineage: Eukaryota; Metazoa; Chordata; Mammalia; Rodentia; Sciuridae
Source: RefSeq, a predicted model, not a curated record